RNAcentral lists this ribosomal RNA (496 nucleotides) under uncultured bacterium. RNAcentral's name for it is "partial 16S ribosomal RNA". It matches the Rfam family "Bacterial small subunit ribosomal RNA", at positions 28 to 506 of the family's 1533-position model. The record is from RNAcentral.
GAUGAACGCUGGCGGCGUGCCUAAUACAUGCAAGUCGAGCGAACAGAUGAGGAGCUUGCUCCUCUGACGUUAGCGGCGGACGGGUGAGUAACACGUGGAUAACCUACCUAUAAGACUGGGAUAACUUCGGGAAACCGGAGCUAAUACCGGAUAAUAUAUUGAACCGCAUGGUUCAAUAGUGAAAGACGGUUUUGCUGUCACUUAUAGAUGGAUCCGCGCCGCAUUAGCUAGUUGGUAGGGUAACGGCUUACCAAGGCAACGAUGCGUAGCCGACCUGAGAGGGUGGUCGGCCACACUAGAAAUGAGACACGGUCCAGACUCAUACGGGAGGCAGCAGUAGGGAAUCUGCCGCAAGGGGCGAAAGCCUGACGGAGCAACGCCGCGUGAGUGAUGAAGGUCUUCGGAUCGUAAAACACUGUUAUUAGGGAAGAACAAAUGUGUAAGUAACUAUGCACGUCUUGACGGUACCUAAUCAGAAAGCCACGGCUAACUACGU